GUGUUAUCCCAUGUGCUUCCAGACUCUGACUCUUAUCUGCGUUUUAUUGAACAAAUGAAUUUGGCUACUAAAGACUGAUCCUGGACUGACAUCUUAGAUAUUCCUUCACCAAGAAUGGAUAACAGGGCAGGAACCAAAAAUUUCCUGGUGCCUCACUCCAAGAUGCAAUAUCAGCUCUUGUCCUAAAGAUAGGAAUGCACCUGCUGGUGGAUGGGACCACACCCCUCUGCUCACUUCAGCAAGCCCGUAUAUCUGCAGGACUGCUGGUAACCAUGGGAUGUUCAGAAGCCAUUUGCAACUGAGUCUGAGAGGGGUUGGGGGGAACGGAUGCUCAUGUUUAUGAGCCUGAGCAGCUUGUGUCAUGCAGCGGGUUGUCAUGUUCCCAGUAAACACACAACAUGGAAACUAUAUCCUAGAGCCAUACCCUUUCCUUGCUCAAAAGCCCCUUUGGAAGUUUCCCAUCAGCCACCACCCUUUACAUUAGUCAAGAGCACAUUAUCAUUUUUUUAAUUAAAAAAACUAAUGUAUUUAUUUUGUGUGUUUAUGUGUGCUUAUACAUGUGUGCUAGGGUACAUGUGUGUACAUGCAUGAAGAGGGCAGAAGUUAACCUCAGGUUAAUUUCCCCAAGAAAUAUCCACCUAAUUUCUUAAGUCAGGGACUCUCACUGGGACUUGGGGAUUUCUGAGGAGGCUAAGCUAACUGGCUAAUAAGCCCCAAGGAUCUUUCUGCUCAGCCUCUCCACCAGUGGUGUGACAAGCACCAGCCACCGUGCCCAGCUUUCUAAUGUAGGUGCAGGGGAUUGAGU
RNAcentral lists this long non-coding RNA (805 nucleotides) under Mus pahari (shrew mouse). RNAcentral describes it as "lncRNA (MGP_PahariEiJ_G0005346.1)". The record is from RNAcentral. Lineage: Eukaryota; Metazoa; Chordata; Mammalia; Rodentia; Muridae.